RNA transcript from Cololabis saira (Pacific saury), 1253 nucleotides. It is a transcript of the gene named THAP domain-containing protein 6-like, with no coding region annotated. The transcript has 6 exons. The record is from RefSeq and is a predicted model, not a curated record. Lineage: Eukaryota; Metazoa; Chordata; Actinopteri; Beloniformes; Belonidae.
GAUGCCUGAGUUUUGUGCCGCCUACGGUUGCAAUAACCAGCGAUCACUUCAGACCAGAUCGCGUGGGAUUACCUUUCACAAGUUUCCCACAAAUGAGAGUCUGAGGAGGCAGUGGGAAGUUGCUCUACGAAGGGAAAGUUUCACAGCAACAAAGCACACAAAGCUGUGCAGUGAGCACUUCAAGCCGUAUCAUUUUGACAGGACGGGUCAGAUUGUCCGGCUUAGAGAUGGUGCCAUACCAUCUCUUUUCAACUUCCCGUCUCAUCUCCAAAGACCAGUAGCAACCAGGACCACAAAAGUGGCAAGAAAAGCUGAAGUGGACCUUUCUCAGCAUUUGCCUGAAGCUGAACCUCAGCCCAAUGCAGACCACCUCUAUGCAUUGCCAGAUUCCAAUUGUCUGAAGGCCAGACUUGGAGAAGCUUUGGCUCGAGUGGAGAGUCUGGAGCGGGAGAAGGCAAAUGCUCAGGCCCGAGAAAGGAGGGCAAAGAAGACAGUAAAAGGUCUUCUGGAGGAUCUUCAGAAAAAGAACCUCAUAGCUGAAGAUUUGAAAGAGAGGCUUGAUUUUUACUCAGGUAAAAUUACAUGAUCUUCAGAUAGACCUAUUUCAGAAGAGGGGCCAUGACUACACCAAGGACCAGAGAGAGUUUGCCCUUACACUCCACCUCCAUGGUCCAAAAACGUACACUUACCUGAGGGAGUCUCUGCAUCUUCCCCUCCCACAUCCACACACAUUGCAAAGGUGGAUGCAAUCAGUGGAUGCCAAGCCGGGACUCAACAUGAUGAUGUUGGACAUGUUGGAAAGAAAGAAAAAAGAAGACCCAGCCAAGUAUGGUUGUGUGGGACUAAUGUUGGAUGCCAUGGCCAUCAAAAAGCAUGUCCAGUACAACCCCCAUACACAAAAAAUGUCUGGAUUUGUGGAUAUGGGGGAUGGUAUCAAUGAGACUGAUGUAGCCACAGAGGUGCUAGUCUUUAUGGUGGUUGGCCUACAGGGUCAUUGGAAAGCUCCAAUUGCCUACUUUAUCACAAAGUCUCUGUCACCAGACACACAGAAGGUCCUGGUUGUCCAUGCUUUAGAGCAACUGCAUGCACAUGGCAUAAGAGUGGUCUGCAUGACAAUGGAUGGGCAUGCCUCCAACGUCAACAUGUGUAAUCAACUCGGGUGCCAACUGAAAGGAAACCCUCUUCAGCCGUUGCAAACCUCCUUUCAACAUCCAGUGACUGGUGACAGGGUCUUUGUGUUGAUGGACGCAUGU